Molecule: ribosomal RNA, 762 nt
Filed under: uncultured Bacteroidota bacterium
Lineage: Bacteria; Pseudomonadati; Bacteroidota
Description: bacterial SSU rRNA
Rfam family: Bacterial small subunit ribosomal RNA
Source: RNAcentral
AUAGGCGUCGACCGGCGCACGGGUGAGUAACGCGUAUCCAACCUGCCCAUCACUUGGGGAUAACCUUGCGAAAGUAAGACUAAUACCCAAUGAUAUCUCUAGAAGACAUCUGAAAGGGAUUAAAGAUUUAUCGGUGAUGGAUGGGGAUGCGUCUGAUUAGCUUGUUGGCGGGGUAACGGCCCACCAAGGCGACGAUCAGUAGGGGUUCUGAGAGGAAGGUCCCCCACAUUGGAACUGAGACACGGUCCAAACUCCUACGGGAGGCAGCAGUGAGGAAUAUUGGUCAAUGGGCGAGAGCCUGAACCAGCCAAGUAGCGUGCAGGAUGACGGCCCUAUGGGUUGUAAACUGCUUUUAUAAGGGAAUAAAGUGAGUCUCGUGAGACUUUUUGCAUGUACCUUAUGAAUAAGGACCGGCUAAUUCCGUGCCAGCAGCCGCGGUAAUACGGAAGGUCCGGGCGUUAUCCGGAUUUAUUGGGUUUAAAGGGAGCGUAGGCCGGAGAUUAAGCGUGUUGUGAAAUGUAGAUGCUCAACAUCUGCACUGCAGCGCGAACUGGUUUCCUUGAGUACGCACAAAGUGGGCGGAAUUCGUGGUGUAGCGGUGAAAUGCUUAGAUAUCACGAAGAACUCCGAUUGCGAAGGCAGCUCACUGGAGCGCAACUGACGCUGAAGCUCGAAAGUGCGGGUAUCGAACAGGAUUAGAUACCCUGGUAGUCCGCACGGUAAACGAUGGAUGCCCGCUGUUGGUCUGAAUAGGUCAGCGGC